GGGUUUGUGGCUCGGUGGUAGAGUGCUUGCCUAGCAUGCAUGAGGCCCUGGGUUCAAUCCCCAGCACCA
This is a non-coding RNA of Ictidomys tridecemlineatus (thirteen-lined ground squirrel), 69 nucleotides long. The record is from Rfam. Lineage: Eukaryota; Metazoa; Chordata; Mammalia; Rodentia; Sciuridae.